CAAGGCCCCCGCAACUGACGGGCUAAUGUGGAACUCACCACAGGGGAGCGGGGAGCAGCCUUUUUGCCGACCGUCUGGGCAGUGUCG
Molecule: non-coding RNA, 87 nt
Filed under: Firmicutes bacterium CAG:94
Lineage: Bacteria; Bacillati; Bacillota
Also listed under: 1 other name
Description: ZMP/ZTP riboswitch aptamer (pfl RNA motif)
Rfam family: ZMP/ZTP riboswitch aptamer (pfl RNA motif)
About the family: Previously known as pfl RNA. ZMP is also known as AICAR.
Source: Rfam by way of RNAcentral